Molecule: unclassified non-coding RNA, 285 nt
Filed under: plant metagenome
Description: partial contains small subunit ribosomal RNA, internal transcribed spacer 1, and 5.8S ribosomal RNA
Rfam family: Eukaryotic small subunit ribosomal RNA (bases 1-54)
Source: RNAcentral
GGAAGUAAAUGUCGUAACAAGGUUUCCGUAGGUGAACCUGCGGAAGGAUCAUUAUUGCAUAACCGAGGUGCGAGGGCUGUCGCUGACCCGAAAGGUCGUGCACGCCCGAGUGCCCUCACACACAUCCAUCUCACCCCUAUGUGCACCACCGCGUGGGUCCCCCUUUGGCUUGUUCGGAGGGGGGCUUACGUUUUCACACAAACUUUGUAUGCAGUGUAGAAUGUAUUUUUUGUUUUUGCGAUCACGCAAUCAAUACAACUUUCAACAACGGAUCUCUUGGCUCUC